CCUGAUCCCAUCUCGAACUCAGAAGUGAAACAUACCUGCGCCAAUGAUAGUGUGGGGCUUCCCC
RNAcentral lists this ribosomal RNA (64 nucleotides) under Legionella micdadei. The record is from RNAcentral. Lineage: Bacteria; Pseudomonadati; Pseudomonadota; Gammaproteobacteria; Legionellales; Legionellaceae.